UAACAAGGUAGCUGUAGGUGAACCUGCUGCUGGAUCAUUAACGACUAUAAACAUCUAGUUCGUAACGGCUCCGUUGGUUUCUGCGUGUUGCUGAGCAAUCGUGUUGUCCGUGGUUGUGUUGAUGCAGCAUGAUACCCCACACAGAUGGGCAGAAUUAAAGAGCACUGGAUCGGGUGCCGCCAACAACAUUUUCAUUUUCAACAUUUUACACAGAAAAUAUUCUAGCCUUACCGGUGGAUCACUCGGUUCGUAGAUCGAUAAAGAACGCAGCCAAAUGCGAUAAUUGGUGUGAACUGCAGAUACAUUGAGCACUAAGAUUUCGAAUGCAUAUUGCGUCGUCGGAUUCCAUCCUUCGACAUGUCUGGUUCAGGGUCGUAAAUACAUAUUGUACAGUAGUGCAGUAAUAGCUCGAAUCACUAUGUGGCUCGAACAUGUUGAAACUUGGCGGUGUGGUGGGAGAUUUAAAAGCCUAUUUGAAUUACCACCGAUACACACAAUGCCUCUCAAUUCCGACCUGAGCUCAGACAUGGGCACCCGCUGAACUUAAGCAUAUCAGUA
Molecule: ribosomal RNA, 558 nt
Filed under: Cephalenchus sp. 1 TJP-2016
Lineage: Eukaryota; Metazoa; Nematoda; Chromadorea; Rhabditida; Tylenchidae
Description: eukaryotic LSU rRNA
Rfam family: 5.8S ribosomal RNA (bases 223-375)
Source: RNAcentral